This 505-nucleotide ribosomal RNA is filed under the name uncultured bacterium. Its description in RNAcentral is "bacterial SSU rRNA". It matches the Rfam family "Bacterial small subunit ribosomal RNA", at positions 8 to 526 of the family's 1533-position model. The record is from RNAcentral.
AGAGUUUGAUCAUGGCUCAGGACGAACGCUGGCGGCGUGCUUAACACAUGCAAGUCGAACGGUAAGGCCCCUUCGGGGGUACACGAGUGGCGAACGGGUGAGUAACACGUGAGCAACCUGCCCUUGACUCUGGGAUAACAGUUGGAAACAGCUGCUAAUACCGGAUACGACCCUUGAUGACAUCAUCUGGGGUGGAAAGCGCUUUAGCGGUCAAGGAUGGGCUCGCGGCCUAUCAGCUUGUUGGUGAGGUAACGGCUCACCAAGGCUUCGACGGGUAGCCGGCCUGAGAGGGCGACCGGCCACACUGGGACUGAGAUACGGCCCAGACUCCUACGGGAGGCAGCAGUGGGGAAUAUUGCACAAUGGGCGCAAGCCUGAUGCAGCAACGCCGCGUGCGGGAUGACGGCCUUCGGGUUGUAAACCGCUUUCAGUUCCGACGAAGCGCAAGUGACGGUAGGAACAGAAGAAGGACCGGCCAACUACGUGCCAGCAGCGGCGGUAAUUC